Molecule: long non-coding RNA, 5939 nt
Organism: Sapajus apella (tufted capuchin)
Lineage: Eukaryota; Metazoa; Chordata; Mammalia; Primates; Cebidae
Exons: 3
Source: RefSeq, a predicted model, not a curated record
ACAUAUAUAUAUAUAUAUACAUAAAUAAUGUAUAUUUUUUCAUUGUUAAAGAUUCGAAUUUUUAAGGAAAACUUUAUCAGGAUCAAGAAAUGAGAGUUUUUAGUGGAGAAUUCUUCUUAAUUCUAUUUAAGCCUUGGCCUCAAAAUAGCAACCCUAUGAUCUCAUUGAUUUUUUUUUUGAGGUGAUCCAUUUGGCAUUCAUUCAUUCAUUUAUUCUUUCUUUUGGUAAAGUUAUUUAAGAGCAUAUUGUUAAUGUACUAGUAUUCAUGAGAGGAUUUACUUUUUAAUUUGAUUGUCUUUUAUAAGUUCUUCAGUACAAGCUACUUAUCAGCUCAAACUUCCAGCUGGCAAUUACUGAGAGCAGGAUGAGAAAGGGGUAGUAAUGAGUCAGUGAAUUUGGGUGUGAGGAACAGAGAUAUCUGGGACACAUGGUGAGAUCUUCACAGGCUAGUUUUGGAGGCCACUAGAGUCAGGGGUGUGACCCAUCAGGGGCCACUGGGCAUGACUGGAAAGUCACUAUGAGUUGAGGAAAUGGGAAGACCGAACCGAAGAAAAAAUGAGGAAGAAUGAAGGCAGAUUUUUUGUUUUGUGAUUUUUCCAAGGGCCUGGCUUGGAUUUUGCCUAUGUAGGAAAAUGUGCAAGAAGUACAGUGACAUUCUGAGGGAACAGGUGGUCACAAUCCCCCACUGCUUCUCUCCAGCCAGAAGGAGGCUAACAUCCAGCCCCUGGUGAGGCCCACUCAAUUCACUAGGCAGAGCACGAUGAUCUGAGGAUCUCUGCCAACCCUCCUGCCUGGCCAAGCUGUGAGACCAACUGUUCCUUAUUUUCUAAGCAUUGAGCUGCUUCUGGACUUUGCUUCUUUGUUUAGGAAAUGAAUCCAAAUCCCUUUCCUCUGGACUUGCUUGAUCUCCAGGCCUGAAGUCAAGCCAGUAUUGGCCGCUAUCUAUUCCCUCAGCCACACAGUGAACAACCAUCAUAACCACACCACACAUUUAUUGGUUCAAGUCUUGUUUUCAAGGGGGUUCUACAUACUCCACCUGAUUUCAUACUAGAAAAAAUUCUACAUUGGAAGAAUUCUACAUAGGAUUGUGCAGGUGUCAUCACCUAUUUGACAGCUGUUAGGCCUGAGGCCUGAGGCCUGAAGAAAUUGAUGUAAAGCUAGUCUCAAAUCCAGGAGCCCAACUUCAGUCUUUUCAUCUAUGGUCCUUGUGUGAUGCAUUCAAAGAUGCAUUAACUCUUGAAGAGAAGAUGCACAUUCCCAUCUCCUCUUGGGCAAAAUCUAAACUUCUGUAUGACUUUUAUCUUCAACCUUCAUUCUCAAGUAGCCAAACAAAGGAAAGGGUGCUUUAAUGAAAUGGGGCCCAAGACCCCCAACUUGUUCUGACAAAAAUAGAAACUUGUAGUAGGAGCAGAUGAUCAUGUCUGUUAUUUAAUAGGAGGAACAUAAGAAAUAGGAAUAAGAAAACCUGAAGGUGGAUUGUGACUUGUUAAUUAGCUCUUCAAUAUUUAUUAACCUCUCUGAGCUUUGCUCUCCUCUUCCUUUAAGCAGAAUAAUACUACUCUGCCAUGUGUGCCCCAUCAAGGUGUUAAAACAAUUAAACUAUAAAAUAAAACUGGCUUUAAAAUUAUAAAGCACAAUUCAUUUAGAAAGGUGUUUUUUAGCAUUAUUUUAGUUAUUUGCACAUAAAAAGGCUAAAUAUAUGAUGAAAGAUGAGUGAGAAAUGCAAGAAUGAUUUGGAUUUUUGAAUACUCUGCAUCAUCAUGACUUUUUGCAAUAUUUUACCCCCUCCAAUCCUUUAUUCUUUCCAGGUUCUCACUUAUUCAUGGUAGAUUGUGUUCUUUACCUUUAACUGAGUGGCAGUUGGUCAGGCACAAUCUUCACCACGAAGAUAGAGCUGCUGAGGAUCACAGAGACGAAAGGCCUGAAUUAGGCUUACAUAGCUAGUAACUACAAGAAUCGCUAAAAUCUAAGAAUGUGGCAGAAAUGAAAUUCUGGCAUUUCUGAUAUUAGUGGUAUGAAGACUUAUACCAUCUUGUCUGACCAAGUGUCAGCUCUCCAGCUGACAGCCAGAGCUGGGCUCCCAGCCAUCAGAUAGACCCAACAGCCGGGCACCGCAGCCCAGGCUUCAGGGAAGCAAUUGAAGAUACCAUAUUAAAUGUGCAUCCUCCUGCCUCAGCUGUCCCAGCCCCUUUAGCCACCCAGUUGAACCUAUUCUAAAUUCCUGACCCAAGUAAGUGUGAGUCAAAUCAAAAUUAAAUUUUAAGCCACUACAGUUUGGGGUAGUUUGCUAGACACUAAUAGAUAAUGAGGCCAAUUCCUUUAAGCAAUUUACCCAGGAAAAUGCUCCAAAGCCAUCCCCUUUACCUUCGAGUUCUCCAGAAGAAAUUUCAUUUGCUGUGGGACCUCACACAGUGUGGGUGUGCACAGAAGUCAUUUUUAUAAAAGAUGACUUGGGAGGCUCCAUUUUCAUGUUGAAUGCAUUUGUCAUUUGGACACAGCUAGCAGGUAGAAACCUUCAGACAAAGGAGGUGAGCGACAUAUGGGUAUAUGUCCUUGGCCAUAGGAUUUAUCACCCCCUCUCUGUGGACCUUUGGAAGACAAGUAGAGUUGGAAGGAUGAAAGGAGUCUCUGUAAUGAUUCUGGGUCCUCUUAGGAUUCCACCUGGGUUCACGGUGAUGAUUGGAAGUGAUGGUAGUGGAAAAAGAGAGCAAAGUGUGGGCCCUGGGUUGCUGUGUCUGAUGGCUGAGACUUGUGUAUACUCCAGGUAGUGACAUUUCUGGCCUUACAGACAUCUCUUCAUCUUCAUCUCAUUGCAAGCGUGUGCCAGAGGCUGAGGAUAAUAAAAUGAACAAAUAUGCUCCAUUCUUCAAAAAGCUUCAGACUAUAUACAUAUAUAAAUCAAAUGUAAAAAAAUUAAUUUAUUACUUGGACUGAACUUUCUAGAGUAUAAACAGGAAAUGGCUUUAUUUUUCUCUCAUUAUUUCCUUCAAUAUGCUUUAUCUUUUCUCAUUUCCUUUCUUUGCAGUUUGAUAACAUCUUGAGCAGAUUCCAUAAGUGUUCACUCUUUUUAACCCAUUUUUGACAAUAUAGAGUCCCUUCUAGGUUUAAAAAGCCUAAUUCUGACUUUUUUAAAGCUUCAAGUUCAUGUUUAAUUUAAAGCUUCUUUUCUUCCUUCAGAUUGCACCUUGGAGACCAGAGUGGAGUCCAAUAUGGUUUCUCCUCAAUCUUCCUUCACUUUUUUUUUCACUUUUGCUUCGCAUUUCUUUAAGUUCUGCCCUGUGGGAUAUGGGAAGAGAUAUGAGGAAACAGACAUUGGAAGAACAAAGGAAACAAGGACUUACAUGGCUAAUGGCUUGUAAUAUAGGCAUCAGUGCUCCUGGCUGUAGCAGGUGUUCAGAGGCUACGGUAAGCUGUUCAUAGGGUUUUUCUGCACAACACCCUACCCUCAACAUGGGGAUUUCUGCAGUGUAGUUUCCUGAUGCAGGUGCCACAUGUUCUCACUGGCCCUUUGGAACCUUCUUCUAUCCCCUUCCCCUCUGAGAUCAAUCCCAGUCACGGAGCCCUCUUGGGUAGGAUCCCAUUAAGUUGCCUUAAGCUUAGCCAUUCUCUACCCAUUCAGCCAUGUACUGGGUCCAGAGGAAAUUCACAUAUAUUCUUCAAGCCCAACACUGCUCUCCUGAUACCUGCUGCUCCUCCUUGCCGUUCUGGACUGCUCUGGCAGUAUGCUGCCAAAGUCUUGUCAGUGGGAAGCAGGCUCCAUUCUCUCUGUCCACACAUACCCCCAAACUCAAGCUCACCUACAAUCACUAACCGUAUGCUUCACUAGAAUCCCCAGCUGCCAUGAGGCCUGUGGUUCAUGGCACAGUAAAUCUUCCUGGGGGGCUGGACCUCCAGCCUGCAGCCACCCCCAGGAUCUACAAAGAAUGCUCUUCAAGCUUCUUCCCCAGCUUUUUGCUGAGAAAAGCCAAGUACUUUCAAUUCCUUCCUGAGCCUCCUUUCACAUUUUCUAACGUCUUUCACGCAGCCCGGAGGAUGUAAUGGCCUUCAGCUUCUCUUCCUUUAGUAUGUAUGUGGACUCAGUUUUAGCCCAGAUUCUAGGACAAUGAGACACAUUUUAUUAAAUUCAAAUGAUUCCGGACCAUGUUGGUAACUGCUGAAAUGGAGCAACGCCACUGAACAGAUUCAGCAGGAGAAAGAGACAGGAAUGCCUCCAGCAGCCAGGCAAGGGGAGGACCCGGCUCUAGGAGAAUAAAUGGAGGGUCAUCAGGAAGGAGAGUGAGGGGGAACACUGGGUAGAGACAUGAGAGCAUGGUUGAUGACAAAAAAGGGCUUAGUGAACUCAGCACAACACAGUGGCCGGUCAUCUGCAGGAAGAAGGGAGUCAAGACUGCAGAGGCAGCUUGGAGGCAGAACAGGGAAGUGGGGCUGUGAAGAGCUUCUCGGAGGGGAUAAGGUGAAGUCAUUUUCUAGUUAGAAGGAGCCAAAGGACAGAAUCAGGAACAACAAUUAAGAGGUCCCCCAGUAAUCUCAUUUACCUUCCUUAGAUUACUCCGUUGUCUUGUGUUCCCAAAUCUCUUCGCCUUCCAUGUUUCCUUCUAGAAGGUUGACAGUCACUGGUAAAUGGAUGGCAAAAGAUUUAUUUGGUAGUGAAUUGAACAGGGUCAUAUGGCCACAGUCUAUUUUUGGCCACCUCCAUAAGGCUGAAUGAAGUAAGAUGCAUGAAAAUGUUCUAUAACAUUCUAACCUUAGAAAACGUAGAGAACUCUUAUUGUUAAGCAGUUAAUGUUUGUGCAAGUCAUUUGGCAAUUAAUUUUAAAUUACCUGUGACAUUUCUUCUCUGAUUUUCUGGAAUUGUGAUUUAAGUCUAUAAAUCCACUUGUUUCAUCUCUCAGGGCUCUGCUCCUCUGUUUCCAAGGUGACAGCUAGCUAGCUGGUGGAUUAAUCCAUGCUAAUCUGUUAGUUGCGACCAAAGGAGGCAACACUGAAUGAUGCCAUGCGUUUUAAACCUAGUAAUGUUCAGAUUAAUUUUUAAAUAAAAAAUUGAUUUUAGAACCAAAGUAUGGACCUAGAUAAUUAUUAAAAUGAUAAUUAUGAUAUUAAUCAUAUAGGCAUGUAGACCAUUUUGUUGUGUCAGAUAUGUGCCAUUACUUCCUAUACUUAAUUCAGGUUGAAUAAGGUUGAGCCUCCAUCCUCUCAUUAGGCUUGCAAGAAUAUUAGUCUAGUUUUUUUUAGGGUUCCCUGAAUCUCAGCUGACACAUCCACUAAAGGUUGUGCAGAGGUUUUGGGAGGUGAGUCUCAGGCAGUGACAAAGCAUGUAGGCCAUUGGCCUGCUAAUUAUCAGCGAGACAGCCUUAUCCACAUUUCAGGGCAACUUAAAGUCCGCUGCUCUGAUCCAUUUGGGCCAUGACUGAGACCUAGGAAUUGAAUCCUAAAAUCUCCAGGAUCCAGUUUCCUAAGGUGAACUAAACAGUCCUUUAUCCUUUCAAGCUUGUCCUGAGAGGAAGUAGGACGUGGAGCCACCCUCAGAUAUUCUUCUCCUUUGAGACCUAGGUAAAUCUGCCCUCCCUUUCUCUACGUCUCUGGCUAACAAGACAUGGAGUUUGUGGGCCAUUGUUUGGUUAUUAGAUGGCAAUUAAGAUAAGUCCAUAUACACUCAUCAUUUCUAAUACAAUUGAAAUGCAAAUGGAAAACUAAGAAUUUUUGGGGUUGCGUGUUUGGAACCUCAGGCACAUAUUUUUGAAACUCCAGGGCCCAUGGAAGUCAGUUUGGAAACAUUGCUGCAGUUGCUUGAGUAUGAGCUCUGGAGUCAGAUGGAGCUGAAUUUGAAUUCUAUCUCAGUUUCUGCAUUCGUAGCAAAAACAUGGUAAUAUUGCCUUCAGUAUUAGUUUCCUAGUGCUUCUAUAAGUAAUUACUAAAAAUUGGGUGGUUUAGCAUAAGAA